UCAGAUGUCUGGGGACAGUCAUUGAGCAA
This 29-nucleotide non-coding RNA is filed under the name Homo sapiens (human). The record is from RNAcentral. Lineage: Eukaryota; Metazoa; Chordata; Mammalia; Primates; Hominidae.